Molecule: ribosomal RNA, 447 nt
Filed under: uncultured bacterium
Lineage: Bacteria
Description: bacterial SSU rRNA
Rfam family: Bacterial small subunit ribosomal RNA
Source: RNAcentral
CCAGACUCCUACGGGAGGCAGCAGUGGGGAAUAUUGCACAAUGGGCGAAAGCCUGAUGCAGCAACGCCGCGUGAAGGAAGACGGUUUUCGGAUUGUAAACUUCUGUUCUUAGUGAAGAAUAAUGACGGUAACUAAGGAGCAAGCCACGGCUAACUACGUGCCAGCAGCCGCGGUAAUACGUAGGGGGCAAGCGUUAUCCGGAUUUACUGGGUGUAAAGGGAGCGUAGACGGCAUGGCAAGUCUGAAGUGAAAGCCCGGGGCUCAACCGCGGGACUGCUUUGGAAACUGUUAAGCUGGAGUGCAGGAGAGGUAAGUGGAAUUCCUAGUGUAGCGGUGAAAUGCGUAGAUAUUAGGAGGAACACCAGUGGCGAAGGCGGCUUACUGGACUGUAACUGACGUUGAGGCUCGAAAGCGUGGGGAGCAAACAGGAUUAGAUACCCGGGUACA